RNAcentral lists this ribosomal RNA (253 nucleotides) under uncultured bacterium. RNAcentral's name for it is "partial 16S ribosomal RNA". It matches the Rfam family "Bacterial small subunit ribosomal RNA", at positions 524 to 776 of the family's 1533-position model. The record is from RNAcentral.
UACGUAGGGGGCAAGCGUUGUCCGGAUUUAUUGGGCGUAAAGAGCGUGUAGGCGGCCUGACAGGUCUGCUGUGAAAACUCGAGGCUCAACCUCGAGAUGUCGGCGGAAACCGUCUGGCUAGAGUCCGGAAGAGGAGAGUGGAAUUCCUGGUGUAGCGGUGAAAUGCGCAGAUAUCAGGAGGAACACCGGUGGCGAAGGCGGUUCUCUGGGCAUUACCUGACGCUGAGGAGCGAAAGUGUGGGGAGCGAACAGG